RNAcentral lists this transfer RNA (71 nucleotides) under Candidatus Riesia sp. RNAcentral describes it as "tRNA-Thr". It matches the Rfam family "tRNA". Rfam says of the family: Transfer RNA (tRNA) molecules are approximately 80 nucleotides in length. Their secondary structure includes four short double-helical elements and three loops (D, anti-codon, and T loops). Lineage: Bacteria; Pseudomonadati; Pseudomonadota; Gammaproteobacteria; Enterobacterales; Enterobacteriaceae. The record is from RNAcentral.
GCACCUGUAGUUUAAUGGUAGAAUGGGAAUCUUGUAAAUUUCAGGUCCGGGUUCGAUUCCUGGUGGGUGCU